AUGUGUUCCAAAACAGCAGCUCUCACUAGAUGGCAGGAUGAAGAGCAUACAAAAUAUGGUUUGAGCAGGCAUCCGGCUGAUUCUGCUCAAUGGAAGUAUUUUGAUGAGUUGCAUGAGGACUUUGCUAAGGACUGCCACCAUUUUAGGCUUGGAUAUGGAGCAGAUGGUUUUAAUCCUUUUAGAUCCAAUAAUGUGAAUUAUAGUGUUUGGCCUGUUAUAUUGAUUCCUUAUAACUUCCCUCCUUGGAUGUGCAUGAAGCAAUCAAAUUUUUUUCUCACAUUGUUGAUUCCUGGUAAACAUGCUCUUGGUAGUGAUAUGGAUGUUUAUCUAGAGCCGUUAAUUGAUGAUAUGGUAGAUAUGUUUCUUCAUGGUGUCAGAACGUACGAUGCUUCAAAAGAAGAGUUCUUUAAUUUGAAGGCUGCCAUAUUAUGGACCAUUCAUGAUUUCCCGGGCCUAGGGUAUACAACUGGUUGUACCACCUCUGGUGAAGGAGCUUGUCCUGAAUGUCAUUCUGACACAUGUUCUCUUAGGUUGAAUAAUGGUAGCAAGACAUGCUACAUGGGGCAUCGCAGGUUCUUACAUGAAGACCACCCCUUUAGGUCCAAUACCCAUUCUUUUGAUGGCAUUGCUGAGCAUAGGCCAGCGCCAAUUCCUCUCUCUCGAUCAGAAAUUGUUGCUCAGAUGGAAGAUAUGCAUACAGUUUUUGGGAAGGAUCCUUCCGGGAAGAAGAAAACCAAGAGAAAGUGCAAUGAUGAUGAGCCAUUAAUAGUUUGGAAAAGGAAGUCUAUUUUUUUCAGGCUGCCAUAUUGGGACAGCUUGUUGCUGCGUCACAACUUAGACGUCAUGCACAUAGAUUAA
This 858-nucleotide ribosomal RNA is filed under the name Triticum aestivum (bread wheat). RNAcentral describes it as "partial small subunit ribosomal RNA". The record is from RNAcentral. Lineage: Eukaryota; Viridiplantae; Streptophyta; Magnoliopsida; Poales; Poaceae.